Sorghum bicolor (sorghum) is the source of this 1623-nucleotide RNA transcript. RefSeq lists it as uncharacterized. The transcript is spliced from 11 exons. NCBI's taxonomy places the organism in Eukaryota, Viridiplantae, Streptophyta, Magnoliopsida, Poales, Poaceae. The record is from RefSeq and is a predicted model, not a curated record.
CUCUUUCCACGCGAGUUUCUAGAUUCCGUGAUUCCGUCCAGUCGUCGCCACACUCUCCGACAGCCCAAAGCAAGCGUCCCGGCGGCUGGCGACCCUCUGCUCCGGCGACUUGGUUCCCGCCGCCCCGACUCUGCCCCAAGCGAGCGCCGCGCACGUGUCGCCUUUGCUUCCUCUCCUCCUUGCUCCGGUCCCGCGCCGCCGCUUUCUGUCAUCGUGCUGAGCUCCAGCGACGCGCCGAAGGGAUCUGGGAACUUCGAGGAUGCUUUGCUGUGCUGGACACCUGGCGCCCCUUCUCCUCUUAGCACUUUUCUCUGUCUCAUCCCUUCUGUUUGUCGACGGAUCCCAUCAAGACCAGGAAUUCCGUGAAGCUGUUGGAUCCAGAAUUCUUCUUCAAACAAAUCCAGAUGCACAUGAGGUGCAUUGCUCAAGGGAAAGGAGCCGUGCAGCUUGGGAAGCUAUUGAUGAGUAUUUGAUGCCCUUCGUGGAAAAAGAGAAAUAUGAGCUCCCAAGCAAAUGUAGACUUCGUCCUGAUAAUGACAUGUUUCGGGAGCAAGAGCAACAUAAGAUCCAUUUUGAUAUUAAUGAGUGGCAUUGUGGCUUUUGCAAGAAAGCUUUCCGAGCAGAGAAGUUCCUUGAUCAACAUUUUGAAAAUCGGCACAAGAAUCUUGUGGAUAAUAGCGAAGGAAGAUGCAUGGCAGAUCUAUGCGGAGCACUCCACUGCGAUCUGAUGAUGCAGUUCAAGAAACCAAAAAGUAAAUGCAAUGCCGCUGCAGCUACAAGGAAUCGUCAUCUUUGUGAGAGCCUUGCCGACAGUUGCUUUCCUGUUAAUCAAGGUCUUGCUGCCAGCCGUCUUCAUGAAUUCUUCUUGCGCCAAUUUUGUGAUGCGCACACUUGCAAUAAGGGAACUAAACCUUUCCCCAAAGGUGGCAGGAAACAAACAAACAGGUUUUACUUGGCUCUCUGCAUCUUGACCCUCAUACUUUUGCCCCUGUUCUACCUCAUUGUGUUCCUGCACCAGAGGGAAAUGAGGAAAGGCACCCAAGAUCUAAAACGGUUUUCAAAAAUUGGGCAGAAGAAAAAGCCAUCCUAGUUCGAGGGUACAUGUAGAAAAGCUGCGCGUGUCAGUUUGACAUGGAUAAAUCCAGGAUCCUGGUGGUCUAAAUCCAGCACAGACGACUGAAUUGUAAAUUCCCUAUAUUUGGUGCUCAUGUCGUGCAUGUCCCCUGCAGUCCAACAGUCACAAUUCCUAGGUCCAUGGGGCCAAGGAGCUGGAUAUGGAACGUGGUAUACUACUUGUGAAAUGUUUUUUUAUAGGCGGGAAGAUUUUUCCCUCAUUUCCAGAACAGGAACAGUGCUGGCUUCGACCUUUUUUUUUUUGUGUUGUUUCAACGUGUAGAUGCAAGCUUCAAGAGGCAAGCAUGUGCAGUUUUUGUGAGCUUACGGCGAUAUUCUUUAUCGUCAACCAUAACUGAAGUCCUGUUGAUAGUUCACCCACUGAACCACGGGUUUACAUGAUUUUAUAUAUACAAUCUUAGGAGGUAAAACGGUGUCGAAUGAUGAAUCUGUAAGUUGUAAUACAUUUUCGUACGACACUUAAAAAAGUAUACCCAAUCGCUUUUGCCA